RNA transcript from Canis lupus familiaris (dog), 4339 nucleotides. RefSeq lists it as uncharacterized. The record is from RefSeq and is a predicted model, not a curated record. NCBI's taxonomy places the organism in Eukaryota, Metazoa, Chordata, Mammalia, Carnivora, Canidae. The transcript has 3 exons.
CAGGCAGAGGGGCUGAUCCCUUUACAAGCCAAUGAGCUGCCGACACCGUCAGACUUUCCAGGUCUCUGAGUUAAAAAGGCAAACGGCACAUAAAUCUACUGGCAGACCGCCCGUGCUUCUGUCCUCACAGCAAAAGAUUUUCAGAACUGCAUGCCCUUCACUGAUGGAAACGCUGAAAAAUACCUUCCGUUGAAGUAUUUUGAAACUUGAGAGGACCACAGGAGAGGAAAUCAGAUGGCUUCUUCCCAAGCGAAGUUUCGAGAUACCACAGAAAACCUAGAAAGCGCUCAAACGUGAGGAUUUUCCAUUUAAAAACGUAUAGAACCAAGACCAAAAUCAGAGAAAACGAGGUAGAGUUGGUCAUUAUUCCUUCACCAUUUCUGCAGCAACAAGGCUGCAAACCACCCAAGCAACAGUUAGAAGGAGAACCCUCACUUUGAGGAAGAUGGACCAAUCAUCUGUCCUUUGCAAAGUCAUCUAUAUUAUCAAUGGGUUUCCUGGAUUGAAUGAUGCAAGGACCUACAGCGCAGUCCCAGGACCUCCCACUCCAGUAAAGUGCCAAGAGGGGGCUGUGCUCGAAUGUGCCCUGGCUUGACCAAGGAUUUCAUGUAAUGGGGUUGUGGCCGCAGGCCUCAUGUCCAGAAGAAGGAAACAACAAAUAUGCAAGAUCUGGACUAAGUAGUGUCUACACUGAGGAUGAGAGGAUGUCCAAAGUUAUCCACAACCCCAAGUUCAAGUUUUGACAGCAUUUCGAGUGUAUGUAAGUAUGCGUGGUGAGCUUGAUCAGAAUUUUUAAUCCCUCUGCACCCUAGCGAAGGGAACGUUAGUAACUCCUGUUCAGCUUAAUUCACAAAUUUGGGUAGAUACCAAAUGGAGGAAUUAGUUCAAAGAACACCUUAAAAGCCGAAGUCUAAAAUACAGCGCGCGAUUUCUAUUUUCUGCCUUUUUCCAGUUUUCCCCUUCCUUUGUCCUGGCACACAUCCUCUUUUCUUCUUUCCCCAUGGUCUCCUUAUCUGUCUUUGUUGUGAUUACAUGGGUUUGCAGCCUUUUAAAAAAUGCCGGAAAAACCCUUCUGACACUUGAGCUUGUGGUUUUAUCUUCUGCAAAACUGAGCAAAGGACUUGGUGCAAAGCAGGUGCUUCAGUGCAGGUCGUGGCAAUGAGCAGGACUUGAGUAACCUUGGCUGGAGGCACAUGCUUGGGACCCAAGGAAAGGACAGGCUGCUGGUCUGGACUCUGGGGCCUCCGCAGGGCAAUGGUAUUCUCCUGAAUUCACAUCAUCGAUGUAAUCAUGCAAAAUAAUACCUUGCAUGUAAAGUUGUUCACUUUCCCUCUCUGUUCCCCCAAUUCCCUUUUCGACCAUUGCUGGAUGAAUAACAAUACAUGAUCUCCAUGGGGACCUCUGUACAGAGCAAAGAUGCUAAACUAUUGAUUCCAAUAGCAGGACCCAUAAACACCGGGUCAGAGGAGGAAGAUGGCUUGAGUUUCCCUCAGGACACAGAACUUCAUUUUGGUUUAAAACAGAACAACGAUAGGAGUGAUGAAAGGACUUUAUCUUGCUGAGCAUCUCAGCGCCAUGAUUGACUCAACAGAGAAGAGGUCAUUUCUGACACAGCCUUUUCUCCCAUGUGUUUGCUGGGCUCCAGAAUAGUGAGGAGCAUGGACUAUGCCCGGCACUGAGCAAGGCUGCAUUCAUUAUAUCAUUUAAUACUAGCAGAGAGAAAAGAAAAAAAGAAAAGAAGAGAAAAGAAAAGAAGGAAAAGAAAAGAAAAGAAAAGAGAAAAGAAAAGAAAAAAAAGAAAAGAAAAGAAAAGAAAAGAGAAAAGAAAAAAAAGCCAGCACUAUUAUUCCAAUCAUUUGAGCAAGACAGCAGCUGAACUUGAGAAGAUUAAGAAAAUGCUGAGGGUCACCAGUGAUUCACUAGAUUUCUGGUUCAUUUUACAGUCUUCUGGAAAGUUAACUUAUAAAUUGAUUUUGGUUUUAAAUACAGGAGGAAGAGGUUAUGCCAUUCACACUACAGUCACAGUAUAAUUUAAAUAGUGUAAAUGACUAACAGGGUCCCGAGGCAUCUUUCCUCUGGACUAUGCAUAAAGCUACCUUGGUUGUUCACUGGUUCAGAUCCAGUGUCACGAGAUAGGGGAUGGUUUGAGUUGCCCCAGAGUUGCCCCAGAUGCUGUAUGGAGACAGCAUGUGCUUCUACACACCUUAUCUGGUCUACACCUCAGCCCUCGUGCAUUAAUUUGAUAAAGAAUGUUCCUGAGCAGAGGCACCUGGGUGGCUCAGUGGUUGAGCAUCUGCCUUCAGUUUAGGUCACGAUCCUGGGGUCCUGGGAUCGAGUCCCACAUUGGGCUCCCUGCAGGAAGCCUGCUUCUCCCUCUGCUUGUGUCUCUGCCUCUCUCUCUGUCUCUCAUGAAUAAAUAAAUAAAAAUCUUUAAAAAAAUGUUCCUUAGUAAUGGAAAGUCAUUUUUAUAAAUUAUAAGUUUUGAUGAAGUUGAUAGUGAUGCUAUGAUCAGAGCAGUCUUAAACAUCCUGCUUUUCAUUUAUCAAUGUAAUUUAUAGAAAUUCUAAAAAAAAUCUAUAAAUAUUAUUUAAAAAUUGAGAAUCUAACAGGAAAAAGAAUCCCUUAUAAUUGCUACAAACCACAGGUUACAGAAUAUGGGAAAGUUUGUGUUACAUUUCCUUCCAACCUUCCUUUUAAAGUCCAUAAUUGGCAUCACAGUUUGCCAGAAGGAUGCUAUUUUCUUCACAUUAGGUUUUAUUUCCCCAUAUCACUAAAAAUUAUAUAAAAAUAUUGUUAUAUCUUUCAAAAUGUCACAACUUGCCAUAAUUUAUUGAACUAUCCUCCCUGUAGUUAGUUGGUCAUUUAGAUUAUUUCCUUUAAGAAAAAAAAGAGUCAUAAAUAACUAAAUCUAUUUUUGCUUAGUGCAUAUUCCCAGAGUAGGAUGACCAGGAUGGGGGAAGGGACAAUUUGAACAUUUGCAGUGCAGUAUGUUGCCAGGAAAUGGCUUCGCAGACACCCUGGAUCAAUUUGCCCUUAUGAGGUGGAUGCUCUCCACGUGGGGUCCCAGGUCUCCCCAACAUUUGGGGAUUCACUUCUGCAGCCCUCUAUGGCAGACAUUCCCACUGCCAACUCCAUGAUCUCGUCUCUUCCCCUGAGACAUCUGUUUCUCUCUUGAGCGAGUGACACAGUUAGAGGAGAAUGUCCAAAAUCCCUUUUAGAAAUCUGUGUCCACUGUCUAGCAUAGGCAUGGGCACCCUUGAACACCGGGCAGUUCCCCACACAUCCCCUGGACCCCACUGUCCACAGCGUAUGUCUGUGCUCUGGGGCCUGCCAGGGUCCCCCUCCUGCACACCUGUCUCCUGCAUGGUUGGAUGGGGCUGAGGACAUUUCCCAAGAAAGAUAACCCUGUGGACCCUCCUCCCCAUGUGCAUCCCUCAUGCCCUUACCCGGUAGCUGUAACAACAGGGUGUUGUUGGACCUGUCUGGGUAACCUUACUUGCACUCCCAGCUGUAGGUGCCUCUAGGACCCUGACAUGUAAGCAGAGAGCUCCAAUUUGUGUCCCUGGGGAGACCUCAUGUUUUUAAACCCCAAACACUGGACAAGUGGUCUGUGAAGUUGUUAGGAGUUCGGCCUAGAUUUGGGCUGUUUCAAACACAUUCCUAAAUGGUGGGAGCUACCAGUCUGGUUUGUUUCAAGAUUAGGGGCAGUGGGGGUGGCAUGGUCUGGGCAACGUAGGGCUACUUUGAUCAAAUGAUGCAGAUCAGAUGGCAAAAGGCUAAAACUUGGGCCUUUCCAGAUUCCAGCAAAGGAAAGGAUUCAGAAGCUGACUCCUUGUCAAGGUCUUGAAUCAACCAGCUGUUUUGUGAUGUGAAUGGAGAAAUGGAUGCUCCCAGAAGUUUGACAGUAAAAGACCACAGACUCACGGUCUCUGGAUCAGUUCUAAAUUGAGAGGGAUGAUUUCCUCCUUGCAGAUGAAAGCCUUCCGGCUAGACCAGGAUGAAUAGAUCUGAUUACGCUUGAGAGCCAGCGUUCACAUCUCUCGUUGUCAGUCCUGUGAUUUUCUAGGUCAAUAAUAUUACUUCCCAAGUUGUGGACAAAAGCCAGCUUUUAAAAAAUGGGAGUGAAUGCCAAUGGCUUAAUAUACACUGUUCUACUGAAUUCUGAUCAUUAAGUCCAUCUGAAAGGGUCUCCAAAUGAGAAAAGUCAGGAAGCGAUUUUUGUUCUAUAGAGAAUGAAUGUGUAGCAAAUUAUUGAUCAGAUACAACUUAAAUCUUUUUCUAGAUGAACUUUGUCAUCACAUCUGAAAUGGAAGGAAAAGGUACAGUGAUUAGAAAUUAA